AUAAGGGCGCACGGUGGAUGCCUUGGCAUUAAGAGCCGAAGAAGGACGUGACUAACGACGAUAUUCUAGGGGGAGCAGUAAGUACGCAUUGAUCCCUAGGUCUCCGAAUGGGGAAACCCACUAUGUUAUGCAUAGUAUCCGUAAGUGAAUACAUAGCUUACGCGAAGGUAACGCAGAGAACUGAAACAUCUAAGUACCUGCAGGAAGAGAAAGUAAAAACGAUUUCCUAAGUAGCGGCGAGCGAACGGGAAACAGGCCAAACCAAGAAGCUUGCUUCUUGGGGUUGUAGGACUGCAACGUGGACUUAAAGUCUAUAGAAGAAUUACCUGGGAAGGUAAGCCAAAGAGAGUAAUAGCCUCGUAUUUGAAAUAGACUUUAUACCUAGCAGUAUCCUGAGUAGGGCUGGACACGCGAAAUCCAGUUUGAAUCCGGGAGGACCAUCUCCCAAGCCUAAAUACUCCUUAAUGACCGAUAGUGAACCAGUACCGUGAGGGAAAGGUGAAAAGAACCCCGGGAGGGGAGUGAAAUAGCACCUGAAACCGUGUGCCUACAAGAAGUUCGAGCCCGUCAAUGGGUGAGAGCGUGCCUUUUGUAGAAUGAACCGGCGAGUUACGUUAUGAUGCGAGGUUAAGCUGAAGAGGCGGAGCCGUAGCGAAAGCGAGUCUGAAUAGGGCGCUUUAGUAUCAUGAUGUAGACCCGAAACCUAGUGACCUAUCCAUGAGCAGGUUGAAGGUGCGGUAAGACGCACUGGAGGACCGAACCAGGACACGUUGAAAAGUGUUUGGAUGACUUGUGGAUAGCGGAGAAAUUCCAAACGAACUGGGAGAUAGCUGGUUCUCUCCGAAAUAGCUUUAGGGCUAGCGUCGCAAUUUAAGUGUAUUGGAGGUAGAGCACUGUUUGGAUGAGGGGCCCAUCUCGGGUUACCAAUUUCAGAUAAACUCCGAAUGCUAAUACACAUGUGCGGCAGUCAGACUGCGAGUGCUAAGAUCCGUAGUCGAAAGGGAGACAGCCCAGACCACCAGCUAAGGUCCCAAAAUAUAUGUUAAGUGGAAAAGGAUGUGGGGUUGCACAGACAACUAGGAUGUUAGCUCAGAAGCAGCUAUCAUUCAAAGAGUGCGUAAUAGCUCACUAGUCGAGUGACCCUGCGCCGAAAAUGUACCGGGGCUAAACAUAUUACCGAAGCUGUGGAUUUAAUAUUAAUUAAAUGGUAGGAGAGCGUUGUAAUCAGCGAUGAAGGUAUACCGUGAGGGGUGCUGGAGCGAUUACAAGUGAGAAUGCCGGUAUGAGUAGCGCAAGAUAAGUGAGAAUCUUAUCCACCGUAAGACUAAGGUUUCCAGGGGAAGGCUCGUCCGCCCUGGGUUAGUCGGGACCUAAGGCGAGGCCGAAAGGCGUAGUCGAUGGACAACAGGUUGAUAUUCCUGUACUAGUAUUGUUAGUGAUGGAGGGACGCAGUAGGCUAAAGGGAGCCAGUUAAUGGAUCUGGUCUAAGCAGUGAGGUGUGGAAUGUGUCAAAUGCAUUUUCCUUUAACAUUGAGCUGUGAUGGGGAAGCGAACUACGGUUGCGAAGCCCUUGAUGUCACACUACCAAGAAAAUCUUCUAGCGUUUAAUUCAAUACUACCCGUACCGCAAACCGACACAGGUAGUCGAGGCGAGUAGCCUCAGGUGAUCGAGAGAACUCUCGUUAAGGAACUCGGCAAAAUGACCCCGUAACUUCGGGAGAAGGGGUGCUGUAGAAAUACAGCCGCAGUGAAAAGAUCCAAGCAACUGUUUAUCAAAAACACAGCUCUCUGCUAAACCGCAAGGUGAUGUAUAGGGGGUGACGCCUGCCCGGUGCUGGAAGGUUAAGAGGAGGGGUUAGACAUUAGUCGAAGCUCUGAAUUGAAGCCCCAGUAAACGGCGGCCGUAACUAUAACGGUCCUAAGGUAGCGAAAUUCCUUGUCGGGUAAGUUCCGACCCGCACGAAAGGCGUAAUGAUUUGGAUACUGUCUCAACGAGAGACUCGGUGAAAUUUUAGUACCUGUGAAGAUGCAGGUUACCCGCGACAGGACGGAAAGACCCCAUGGAGCUUUACUGCAGAUUGAUAUUGAGUACCUGUGAAGCAUGUACAGGAUAGGUAGGAGACUUUGACCUUGGGACGCUAGUUUCAAGUGAGUCGCUGUUGGGAUACUACCCUUGCUUCAUGGUUGCUCUAACCCACACGCAUAAUCGGCGUGGGAGACAGUGUCUGUCGGGCAGUUUGACUGGGGCGGUCGCCUCCUAAAGAGUAACGGAGGCGCCCAAAGGUUCCCUCAACAUGGUUGGAAAUCAUGUGUAGAGUGUAAAGGUAUAAGGGAGCUUGACUGCGAGAGCUACAACUCGAGCAGGUAGGAAACUAGGGCUUAGUGAUCCGGUGGUACCGCAUGGAAGGGCCAUCGCUCAACGGAUAAAAGCUACCCUGGGGAUAACAGGCUUAUCUCCCCCAAGAGUUCACAUCGACGGGGAGGUUUGGCACCUCGAUGUCGGCUCGUCGCAUCCUGGGGCUGUAGUCGGUCCCAAGGGUUGGGCUGUUCGCCCAUUAAAGCGGCACGCGAGCUGGGUUCAGAACGUCGUGAGACAGUUCGGUCCCUAUCCGUCGCGGGCGUAGGAAAUUUGAGAGGAUCUGCCCUUAGUACGAGAGGACCGGGGUGGACUUACCGCUGGUGUACCAGUUGUUCCGCCAGGAGCACCGCUGGGUAGCUAUGUAGGGAAGGGAUAAGCGCUGAAAGCAUCUAAGUGCGAAGCCCACCUCAAGAUGAGAUUUCCCAUUCUUUAUGAAUUAAGAGCCCUGAGAGAUGAUCAGGUUGAUAGGCUGGAAGUGGAAGUCCUGCGAGGGAUGGAGCGGACCAGUACUAAUAGCUCGAGGACUUUACC
RNAcentral lists this ribosomal RNA (2890 nucleotides) under Lactococcus garvieae UNIUD074. Its description in RNAcentral is "bacterial LSU rRNA". It matches the Rfam family "Bacterial large subunit ribosomal RNA". The record is from RNAcentral. Lineage: Bacteria; Bacillati; Bacillota; Bacilli; Lactobacillales; Streptococcaceae.